UGGGGAAUUUUGGACAAUGGGGGAAACCCUGAUCCAGCCAUCCCGCGUGUGCGAUGAAGGCCUUCGGGUUGUAAAGCACUUUUGGCAGGAAAGAAACGUCAUGGGUUAAUACCCCGUGAAACUGACGGUACCUGCAGAAUAAGCACCGGCUAACUACGUGCCAGCAGCCGCGGUAAUACGUAGGGUGCAAGCGUUAAUCGGAAUUACUGGGCGUAAAGCGUGCGCAGGCGGUUCGGAAAGAAAGAUGUGAAAUCCCAGAGCUCAACUUUGGAACUGCAUUUUUCACUACCGGGCUAGAGUGUGUCAGAGAGAGGUGGAAUUCCGCGUGUAGCAGUGAAAUGCGUAGAUAUGCGGAGGAACACCGAUGGCGAAGGCAGCCUCCUGGGAUAACACUGACGCUCAUGCACGAAAGCGUGGGGAGCAAACAGG
RNAcentral lists this ribosomal RNA (429 nucleotides) under Acidobacteriota bacterium. RNAcentral describes it as "Acidobacteria bacterium partial 16S ribosomal RNA". It matches the Rfam family "Bacterial small subunit ribosomal RNA", at positions 355 to 776 of the family's 1533-position model. The record is from RNAcentral. Lineage: Bacteria; Pseudomonadati; Acidobacteriota.